RNAcentral lists this ribosomal RNA (492 nucleotides) under uncultured bacterium. RNAcentral describes it as "partial 16S ribosomal RNA". It matches the Rfam family "Bacterial small subunit ribosomal RNA", at positions 29 to 507 of the family's 1533-position model. The record is from RNAcentral.
AGUGAACGCUGGCGGUAGGCCUAACACAUGCAAGUCGAACGGCAGCACAGUAAGAGCUUGCUCCUACGGGUGGCGAGUGGCGGACGGGUGAGGAAUACAUCGGAAUCUACUUUUUCGUGGGGGAUAACGUAGGGAAACUUACGCUAAUACCGCAUACGACCUACGGGUGAAAGCAGGGGCUCUUCGGACCUUGCGCGAUUGAAUGAGCCGAUGUCGGAUUAGCUAGUUGGCGGGGUAAAGGCCCACCAAGGCGACGAUCCGUAGCUGGUCUGAGAGGAUGAUCAGCCACACUGGAACUGAGACACGGUCCAGACUCCUACGGGAGGCAGCAGUGGGGAAUAUUGGACAAUGGGCGCAAGCCUGAUCCAGCCAUACCGCGUGGGUGAAGAAGGCCUUCGGGUUGUAAAGCCCUUUUGUUGGGAAAGAAAAGCAGCAGGUUAAUACCCCGCUGUUCUGACGGUACCCAAAGAAUAAGCACCGGCUAACUUCGUG